Molecule: ribosomal RNA, 449 nt
Filed under: uncultured bacterium
Lineage: Bacteria
Description: partial 16S ribosomal RNA
Rfam family: Bacterial small subunit ribosomal RNA
Source: RNAcentral
AACGAACGCUGGCGGCAGGCCUAAAACAUGCAAGUCGAACGAUCUAGCAAUAGAUAGUGGCGCACGGGUGGGUAACACGUGGGAAUAUCCCUUUCACUACGGAACAACGUCGGGAAACUGACGCUAAUACCGUAUAAUGUCUCCGGACCAAAGAUUUAUCGGUGAAAGAUUAGCCCGCGUCUGAUUAGCUAGCUGGUGAGGUAACGGCUCACCAAGGCAACGAUCAGUAGCUGGUCUGAGAGGAUGUUCAGCCACACUGGAACUGAGACACGGUCCAGACUCCUACGGGAGGCAGCAGUUAGGAAUAUUGGACAAUGGGGGCAACCCUGAUCCAGCCAUGCCGCGUGUGUGACGAAGGCCUUAGGGUUGUAAAGCACUUUCGUCUACGAAGAUAAUGACAGUAGUAGAAGAAGAAGCUCCGGCUAAAUUCGUGCCAGCAGCCGCGGUAA